RNAcentral lists this transfer RNA (90 nucleotides) under Candidatus Harrisonbacteria bacterium. RNAcentral's name for it is "tRNA-Ser". It matches the Rfam family "tRNA". From Rfam's summary of the family: Transfer RNA (tRNA) molecules are approximately 80 nucleotides in length. The record is from RNAcentral. Lineage: Bacteria; Candidatus Harrisoniibacteriota.
GGAGAGGUGGCAGAGUGGUCGAAUGCGAUGCACUUGAAAUGCAUUGUGCCAGAAAUGGUACCGUGGGUUCGAAUCCCACCCUCUCCGCCA